Molecule: long non-coding RNA, 889 nt
Filed under: Rhinopithecus bieti (black snub-nosed monkey)
Lineage: Eukaryota; Metazoa; Chordata; Mammalia; Primates; Cercopithecidae
Description: lncRNA (ENSRBIG00000046215.1)
Source: RNAcentral
CUAAAGAUCAUGCAUGCAAGUAAAUCUUUCUUUUUUUUCUGUCUUUCUUUCCUUCUUUCUUCCUUUGUUUCUUUCCUUUUUUUUUUUUUUUUUUUUUUUUUUUUUUUUUUUUUUUGAGGCGGAGUCUCGCUCUGUCGCCCGGACUGGAGUGCAGUGGCCGGAUCUCAGCUCACUGCAAGCUCCGCCUCCCGGGUUUGCGCCAUUCUCCCGCCUCAGCCUCCCGAGUAGCUGGGACUACAGGCGCCCGCCACCUCACCCGGCUAGUUUUGUAUUUUAGUAGAGACGGGAUUUCACUGUGUUAGCCAGGAUGGUCUCGAUCUCCUGACCUCGUGAUCCGCCCGUCUCGGCCUCCCAAAGUGCUGGGAUUACAGGCUUGAGCCACCGCGCCCGGCCGCCCUUUUCUUUUCUUUAUUGAGACAGAUCUCCCUUUGUUGCGCAGCCUGCUUUCAAACUCCUGGGCUCAAGCAACACUCCUGCCUCACGCCUCCCAAAGUGCUGGGAUUACAGGCCUGAGCCACCAUCUUUUGCUUUCAAUGGUAAGAUACAGAAACACAGUGGAGGUGAAAGCAACUCCAUCUUGGAUGCUAAUCUGCCAAGGAAUGCGUCAGCAGCCCUCGAGACCAGUGCAGUGCAAUUACAGUGGCACGAGAUGUGGUGUACACUCCCCGGAUGAUCUUGCUGCUCACGUUUGCUGUGGUUUCAAUCAUCGAGUCAGGUCAGCUCUUCAUAACCUCGUAAAUACAAUUCUAGCAGAUACCGGAACGAAGGAACAAAUGAAAACUGACCCGUUCUUAAAUGUUCCUCUUCACAGACAAAAGAGAAGAGAAGAGAAGGAAAAUUGAAUUUCUUUCCAAUAAAUAAGGGCAUUGGCUUGAUUGUACCUUCACCC